UUCCAUAGUAACAUAUCAAGUGCACCUGCGAACAUAGUUCGUCGGUGAGAGAGGGAAUCAGGUGUGAGUCCUGAGCGAUCCGGUCACUGUAAUCAGGGAGGAAAGCCCGGUAGGAUCCAUUGUACCGCAAGGUAUGAGAAGGAGGGCCGACUGUUGAUCUGUAAGUCAGGAAACCUGCUUGUAUGUCGUAAGGUUA
This 196-nucleotide non-coding RNA is filed under the name Blautia sp. Lineage: Bacteria; Bacillati; Bacillota; Clostridia; Lachnospirales; Lachnospiraceae. The record is from RNAcentral.